UAGGGAAUCUUCCGCAAUGGACGAAAGUCUGCCGGAGCAACGCCGCGUGAGUGAUGAAGGCUUUCGGGUCGUAAAACUCUGUUGUUAUGGAAGAACAAGUACGAGAGUAACUGCUCGUACCUUGACGGUACCUAACCAGAAAGCCACGGCUAACUACGUGCCAGCAGCCGCGGUAAUACGUAGGUGGCAAGCGUUAUCCGGAAUUAUUGGGCGUAAAGCGCGCGCAGGCGGUUUCUUAAGUCUGAUGUGAAAGCCCACGGCUCAACCGUGGAGGGUCAGUGGAAACUGGGGAACUUGAGGGCAGAAGAGAAAAGCGGAAUUCCACGUGUAGCGGUGAAAUGCGUAGAGAUGUGGAGGAACACCAGGGGCGAAGGCGGCUUUUUGGUCUGUAAAUGACGCUGAGGCGCGAAAGCGUGGGGAGCAAACAGG
Molecule: ribosomal RNA, 429 nt
Filed under: Bacillota bacterium
Lineage: Bacteria; Bacillati; Bacillota
Description: Firmicutes bacterium partial 16S ribosomal RNA
Rfam family: Bacterial small subunit ribosomal RNA
Source: RNAcentral